This 571-nucleotide ribosomal RNA is filed under the name Megaphragma noyesi. RNAcentral's name for it is "partial large subunit ribosomal RNA". Lineage: Eukaryota; Metazoa; Arthropoda; Insecta; Hymenoptera; Trichogrammatidae. The record is from RNAcentral.
GCACGCGGUAGCUGCGCAAUUUUGUGUCGUUGAAGUCGGUGUGCACUUCUCCCCUAGUAGGACGUCGCGACCCGUUGAGUGUCGGUCUAAGGCCCGCGAGGUUGACUGCCGGCGCGUUGAUUUUUCGAAAUUGACGUCGUCGGUAGACCCGCGGUCGCCCGACCGACUGCUCGGCGGUAUAAAUUGUUUGAAUGUUCAAUGGUAUCGAGCCGCAUUUUUUUAUGCGUUCUUUAUGACUCGUCGGCAGGUGAGCCUCGCCUCGGAUUUACGGACCUGGUGCCGUUGUCGAGCGAGUCGUUUGCCGUUUUGCCGACGAUGUUCUCGGACGGGCUCUAUAAAGGCGCGCGUUCGCGCGCGCCUUUUGUUACCAGUCAGCGACGCUACUGCUUUGGGUACUUUCAGGACCCGUCUUGAAACACGGACCAAGGAGUCUAACAUGUGCGCGAGUCAUUGGGACUUGUUUAUAAUAAGCCUAAAGGCGCAAUGAAAGUGAAGGUCCGCUCUGAUGCGCGACCGAGGGAGGAUGGCUUCGAGAUUUGGAAUGAUUUUUUUUGUUUCUUUUUUCGAGGCU